UGUAUACAACAUGUAUAUAGCUGCCAUUACAGACCAAGAACUCAUUCAUGGAAGGGCCACUCAGGAGGGGAAUAUAGAAAGUGCUCAGUUACAUGUGUGUUGCUCCUCCUCCAGCAAACACUCACUGACACAGAGUCCUCGGCAGAGUUUUCCAGUGUGCGCAGCCUCCUGCAAGUCUAGAGGAGUGGAUGUGUGCGUCUGAUGGCAAGGGCCCACCCCUGAGAUAUUACCUCAUUAUGCAAAAAUUACAUAUCCUUCCUGACUAUUUUGACUAAAGCUUAAAAACCACGUCUGAUAAAGUUCAGCUCUGAGGAACCCAGGACUGCGAGAAAACGUCCACCUCUAUGUUAUGCAUGCAUCUAAACGCUUAUCCGAAUUCUGCCUUUUAUAAAGGAGCAAACCGUAUGAAGAAGCGAACUGUACAUUUUUAAACUCGAUUGCCAUUAAAGCAGAAGUUACAAGAUUGCAACAGUAACUCGUUUCUGGUCACUCAUUUGGGCUUCUCCAGAGUGUUUGCACACCGCAGCCCCCACCCCCCGCCCCCCUCAACUGUUUUGAAGCAUCCAAAGUGUCAGUUUGAAAUAAUUUUCUUCAUUUUGUUCUUGAUUAAACCUUUACUAUUC
Molecule: long non-coding RNA, 623 nt
Filed under: Cricetulus griseus (Chinese hamster)
Lineage: Eukaryota; Metazoa; Chordata; Mammalia; Rodentia; Cricetidae
Description: lncRNA (ENSCGRG00000026221.1)
Source: RNAcentral